CUGUACCUGUCUUCAGACACACCAGAAGAGGGCAUCAGAUCCCAUUACAGAUGGUUGUGAGCCACCAUGUGGUUGCUGGGAAUUGAACUCAGGACCUCUGGAAGAGCAGUCAGUGCUCUUAACCACUGAGCCAUCUGUCCAGCCUGUGUGUUUCAUUUUUUAUUCUUUUUUAAAAAAAUUAUUUUUCGUGGAUAUUUUAUGUAUUUACAUUUCAAAUUUUAUCUAUCCCCUUUCUCUCCUCUCCAAUACUCCCUUGUGCCUUCUCCUGAUUCUAUGAGGAUGCUCCUACUCCCACUUACCCACUCCAACCUCAAAAACCCUGGCAUUCCCCUACACUGGGGAAAGGAGCCUUCACAGGACCAAGGGCCUUUCCUCCUACUGAUGCUGGACAAUGCCAUCCUCUACUACACAUGCGUCUGGAGUCAUGGAUUCCUCCAUGUAUACUCUAAGGUUGAUAGUUUAGUCUCUGGUAGCUCUGGUGGGAUUUGAUUGUUUGAUAUUGUUGUUCUUCCUAUGGAGUUGCAAACCUUUUAGCGCCUUCAGUCCUUCUCUAACUCCUCCACUGGGGUCCCUGUGCUCAGUCCAAUGGUUAACUGCAAGCAUCCUCAUCUGUAUCAGUACGGUUUUAGCAGAACCUCUCAGGAGACAUCCAUAUCUGGUUCCUGUCAGCAAGCAUUUCUUGGCAUCAGCAAUAGUGACUGGGUUUGGUGAUGGAUAUGGGAUGGAUCCCCAGGAGGGGCAGUCUCUAGAAGACCUUUCCUUCAGUCUCUGCUCUACUCCUUGUCCCUGUAUUUCCUCCUGUGAAUAUUUUGUUCUCCCUUCUGAGAAGGACUGAAGCAUCCACAUUUUUGUUUUCUUUCUUCUUGAGUUUUAUAUGAUUUACGAAUUGUUUCUUGGGUAUUCCAAACUUUUGGGCUAAUAUCCACAUAUCGGUGAGUACAUACCAUGUGUGUUCUUUCGUAACUGGGUUACCUCCUUCAGGAUGAUAUUGUCUAGUUCCAUCCAUUUGCCUAUGAAUUUCAUGAAGUCAUUGUUUGUGAUAGUUGAGUAUUACUCCAUUGUGUAAAUGUACCACAUUUUCUGACCGCAAGUUGAACCAUCACCAUUUGUUGAAAAUGCUGUGUUUUUUCCACUGGAUAGUUUUAGCUCCUUUAUCAAAGAUCAAGUAACCAAAGGUUCAUUUCUGGGACUUCAGUUCUAUUCCAUUGAUGUACUUGCCUGCUUUUAUUACACACACAGUUUUUAAUCAGGAUUGCUCCAUAAUACAGCUUGAAGUCAGGGAUGGUGAUUUCCCUCAGAAGUUCUUUUAUUGGUCAGAAUAGUUUUCACUAUCCUGGGUUUUUUGUUGUUCCAAAUAAAUUUGCAAAUUUCUCUUUCCAACUCUAUGAAGAAUUGAGCUGGAAUUUUGAUGGGGAUUGCAUUGAAUCUGUAGAUUGCUUUUGGCAAGAUGGCCAUUUUUACUAUAUUAAUCCUGUCAGUCCACGAGCAUUGGAGUCUUUCUAUCUUCUGAGAUUUUCUUCGAUUUCUUUCUUCAGAGACUUGAAGUUCUUGUCAUACAGUUCUUUCACUUGCUUGGUUAGAGUCACACCAAGGUAUUUCAUAUUAUUUGUGACUAUUGCAAAGAGUGUCAGUUCCCUAAUUUCUUUCUCAGUCUGUUUAUCCUUUGUGUAAAGGAAGGAUACUGAUUUGUUUGAGUUAAUUUUAUAUUCAGCUACUUUGUGAAGUUUUCGAGUUUAGGAAUUCUCUGGUGUAAUUUUUUUUGGGCUCACUUAAGUAUACUAUCACAUCAUCUUCAAAUAGUGAUAUGUUGACGUCUUCUUUCCAAUUUGUAUCCCUUUGACCUCUUUUUGUUGUCUAAUUCCUCUGGCUGGGACUUUGAGUACUAUAUUGAAUAGGUAGGUAGAGAGUGAGCAGCCUUGUCUAGUCCCUGAUUUUAGUGGCAUUGCUUCAAGUUUCUCUCCAUUUAGCUUGGUGUUGGCUACUGGUUUGCUGUAUAUGGCUUUUACUAUGUUUAGGUAUGGGCCUUGAAUUCCUGAUCUUUUCAAGACUUUUAACAUGAAGGGGUGUUGAAUUUUGUCAAAUGCUUUCUCAUCAUCUAAUGAGAUGAUCAUGUGGGUUUUUUUUUUUCCUUUGAGUUUGUCUAUAUAGUAGAUUACGUCGAUGGACUUCCACAUAUUGCACCAUUCCUGCAUCCCGGAGAUGAAGCCUCCAUUAUCGUGAUAUCCUCAGCCUUUCAAAGUACAUACAUGUGGAGAGAUGAGAGUCUGGACAGAGGCAUAAGGCACAGCUGGAAGCAGAAUUAUCUGGAAAAGUUCUGCUGGUAAGAUCUGUCUACGGCUAUGUUUCAAUAGAAGGUUGUAGAAUCCUGAGUGUUCUCAUUGGCACGAAAACAACAAAGCCACGCUUCUUUGACAAGGGAUCUCCUUUUCCUGUGGUCCUCCCCUUUCUGUGGAUGACCAUUUCUGCAUGGGUAGCUCCUUAAAAGUGAGUUUUAGUUCCCCUCUUCCAGAUACCUAAGUCCUACCCUCCA
Rattus norvegicus (Norway rat) is the source of this 2530-nucleotide non-coding RNA. The record is from RefSeq and is a predicted model, not a curated record. Lineage: Eukaryota; Metazoa; Chordata; Mammalia; Rodentia; Muridae.